RNAcentral lists this ribosomal RNA (375 nucleotides) under uncultured bacterium. Its description in RNAcentral is "bacterial SSU rRNA". It matches the Rfam family "Bacterial small subunit ribosomal RNA", at positions 524 to 898 of the family's 1533-position model. The record is from RNAcentral.
GACGAACCGAGCGAACGUUGUUCGGAAUCACUGGGCUUAAAGGGCGCGUAGGCGGGCCGCCGCGUCCGGGGUGAAAUCCUCCCGCUCAACGGGAGAACGGCCUCGGAUACGGGCGGUCUGGAGGGGGGUAGGGGCGUGCGGAACUGUGGGUGGAGCGGUGAAAUGCGUUGAUAUCCACAGGAACUCCGGUGGCGAAGGCGGCACGCUGGACCCCACCUGACGCUGAGGCGCGAAAGCCAGGGGAGCGAACGGGAUUAGAUACCCCGGUAGUCCUGGCCCUAAACGAUGGGUACUAGGUAGUAGACUUGACAUGGGUUUACUGCCGGAGCCAAAGUGCUAAGUACCCCGCCUGGGGAGUAUGGUCGCAAGGCUGAA